This is a long non-coding RNA of Onychomys torridus (southern grasshopper mouse), 1049 nucleotides long. RefSeq lists it as uncharacterized. The transcript is spliced from 4 exons. Lineage: Eukaryota; Metazoa; Chordata; Mammalia; Rodentia; Cricetidae. The record is from RefSeq and is a predicted model, not a curated record.
GACACUUGCCCAUCUUUCAGCCUUUAAAUUGAGAGGAGCCACUAAAGAAAGCAUGCUUGGUGUUUCCCAAAGCUCCUGUGUCGAAAACAACCUAGACGUAACUGGUCAGAGAAAUAGUUUCUUCCUGGAUCCGUGUGAAAUCAGACUUUUCUGUGACUGGAGAUACUCGUGCCUGCAGAUCUGUGGUUACAAGCAAGGUAACCCUGAGUGGAUCCAGGUUUGAGGGGCCUGAAGUCUUGAGACCUGUUUUAAGAGCCAGAGGACAAAAUUAUCAGUAGUAAAAACAGGUCCAUAGAGGAGGGCCUGUACGCCUUUCUCUCUAUACCCCUCCUCCAUGCUCUCUGAGAGUCCAUAUAUUCCAUGGCAAAUCCUUGAAGGACCCUGACACUUGCAAGGUGUCAAACUGGGGGCUGUGGUCAGAAUCACACAAUGCACAACUCUAACUAGAGGACAGGAACAGGAGUUUAGGAUGUUUCAGAAGAUUGGAGGAUUGAAGACAUCAUUUGGGAUUAAGAUACUGAUUUGGCACUCACCAUUGCUGGGUCCAGCUUGCAGCUGGGAAAUCUUUUGCUGAUAGAAGGGAAUAUGGGGGAUUCUUGUUGCAUUUGGAGACAGCACUUGAUUGCUGAUUAAAAUCUGCAUCACUAAUGUAAACCUGAACCUUUCAGGAAGCAGGCUGUGAGACAUCCUAAUUAGUGUGAAAUUAUAUUUCCCAGAGAUGUUGCAGUCCUGAUCCACACAGACCUACAGCACUGUAAUUCCCUAGGUAGGGCAAGUGUUCCCAUGGAUCAGGCAUUUGUGAUUGCACAGACUAGAACUUAGGCUCAAAUGUAAUUUCCCCACCUUCAUUCCCAACCCCUGAAAACCACUUUCAUAAUCAUUACUCAAAUGAAAGAUGUUCAGUUUUCCCCCCAUGUUGUAAAACAGGUGACUUCCUUGUAAGCCUGUGAAUUCAUCCACAGACCUUUGUGGGUAAACCAGGCAAGUGUUUUUAACAGAUCAACAACUGUUGUCGGAAUGUAGCCACUGGAGGAGGGGGAUCUAAGGCU